RNAcentral lists this long non-coding RNA (240 nucleotides) under Mus pahari (shrew mouse). RNAcentral describes it as "lncRNA (MGP_PahariEiJ_G0032926.1)". The record is from RNAcentral. Lineage: Eukaryota; Metazoa; Chordata; Mammalia; Rodentia; Muridae.
AUAAUGGUGUUUUUAUUCAGCCAAAACGUAACUACUCUAAUUAGUUUAAAGGGGAAAGCUGACAUGCAUGAACCUGAAGCCUGGCAGGUGGGGAGAGUGACCAAAACACAGCAAGUCCCAGUGAUGAAGGUCCUGGCCACCCUCAAGAGCAGGCACUCAAAACAUGAGAUUCCUCUUUCUAAAGUCUCUAGAGUUAGAAAUUCUAAGUGCAUUUCCUUACCUAGUGUGGCCAUUGACCCU